Engraulis encrasicolus (European anchovy) is the source of this 693-nucleotide long non-coding RNA. RefSeq lists it as uncharacterized. The transcript is spliced from 4 exons. The record is from RefSeq and is a predicted model, not a curated record. Lineage: Eukaryota; Metazoa; Chordata; Actinopteri; Clupeiformes; Engraulidae.
UUUUGUUUGGUUUUAUAAGUUAUAGUUUGAGAUGUCACAUUGUAUGUAGGUCGUGUGUAGUCUAACAGCGUUUUCUAUUGUAAUAUAAAUGUAGGCAUACUGCUCCCGUAAUCAAGUUUCCUGCUGGAGUGGGGCUGUUGAUUCUUGUCUAGCCCAUGAUGACUGAUUGAAAGGACAUUACAGGCUACGGUAUGUAACACAACGAUUAUCUUUGUUGAACUUGCAAUGCACAGGAAACACACACCACGUGAAGUGAGAUAAAAUAAUAUUGCAUCACAUUCAUAGCCCUUACUAAUACUAUAAGUAAGUCAAAUAACUCCUGAGUUCAUAGCCUUCACUGCAAUGUGUUGCUCUCGUUUUCACAGUCAAUUCACAAGUCAAAAUCAGAUCAACAGACAGGGACAUCAACCUUCUCUUGGGAAUAUGCCAGAUAUGCCAUAACAAGAAAAAAUGGUGUUUUGCCCCUGCGGUUGUGAAGAGGAUGCUGUGUAGGUGGCAGCAUGAACGUGCCACACAGACAUUGGCUAAACUACUCGGCUUCUACACUUGCCCUCAGAGUUCACAUAUGGUUAAGUGCACAGGUGUCCAUCCAGGUUCAGACUGAUGCUGGCAACAAGAGGAAAACAUGCUGAUUGGAAUGAUUCAACGAUGGACACUUUGCUUAAUUGUGGAAAAAAUAAAUGGAAAAACGUC